RNAcentral lists this non-coding RNA (24 nucleotides) under Arabidopsis thaliana (thale cress). The record is from RNAcentral. Lineage: Eukaryota; Viridiplantae; Streptophyta; Magnoliopsida; Brassicales; Brassicaceae.
ACCUUGUUCGUAACGCUCUUAAGG